GGGGCUGAUCUGGAUUCGACGGGAUACACGAAACCCAAGGUGCAUGCCGAGGUGAGGCUGGCCUCGUAAAAAGCCUCAACGUUAUAGUUGCAAACGACGACAACUACGCUCUAGCGGCUUAAUAACCCGCUAAGCCCGUCCCCCAGCGCUUUGUCUACGAGACUGGAUCAGGAUGGCUCGACCUAAGGUAGACUCGCGUGGAUGCUUUGUCCGGAGCUGAAGCGUUAAACUUAAUCGGACUCGCCAGUAGUUGAAGCCUGUCAGUCGGCGUCAUGCUGGUUAAUAAAAAGACUGAAUAAGCAUGUAGGACCGAGGAUGUAGGUAUUGCGGACGCGGGUUCAACUCCCGCCAGCUCCACCA
Non-coding RNA from Idiomarina baltica OS145, 360 nucleotides. The record is from Rfam. NCBI's taxonomy places the organism in Bacteria, Pseudomonadati, Pseudomonadota, Gammaproteobacteria, Alteromonadales, Idiomarinaceae.